Molecule: ribosomal RNA, 492 nt
Filed under: uncultured bacterium
Lineage: Bacteria
Description: partial 16S ribosomal RNA
Rfam family: Bacterial small subunit ribosomal RNA
Source: RNAcentral
AUUGAACGCUGGCGGCAUGCUUUACACAUGCAAGUCGAACGGUAACAGGCCUUCCGGUGCUGACGAGUGGCGAGCGGGGGAGUAAUGCAUCGAAACGGGCCCAGAGGUGGGGGGAAAGGGAUCAAAACGGGUGAUAGUACCGAAUGUGGUCUGAGAUUGAGAACGGGAGGCUAAGAAAGAGAAUUUGGCCUCUCCCCUCUGGUAUGGAUGGUGUCAGAUUGGGUAGUUGGUGGGGUAAGGGCCUACCAAGCCAACGAUCCGUAGCGGGUCUGAGAGGACGACCGGCCACACUGGGACUGAGACACGGCCCAGACUCCUACGGGAGGCAGCAGUGGGGAAUUUUGGACAAAGGGCGAAAGCCUGAUCCAGCAAUGCCGCGUGCGUGAAGAAGGUCUUCGGGUUGUAAACCGCUUUUGUACGGAACGAAAAGGCUCUGGCGAAUACCUGCACGUGAUGACGGUACCGUAAGAAUAAGCACCGGCUAACUACGUG